UAGCAAUAUCAUAGUGGCGCACGGGUGCGUAACACGUAUGCAACCUACCUUAUACUGAGGGAUAGCCUUUCGAAAGGGAGAUUAAUACCUCAUAACACAUUGAACUGGCAUCAGUUUAUUGCUAAAGAUUUAUUGGUAUAAGAUGGGCAUGCGUCCAAUUAGUUAGUUGGCGAGGUAACGGCUCACCAAGACGAUGAUUGGUAGGGGAACUGAGAGGUUAAUCCCCCACACUGGCACUGAGAUACGGGCCAGACUCCUACGGGAGGCAGCAGUAGGGAAUAUUGGGCAAUGGAGGCAACUCUGACCCAGCCAUGCCGCGUGCAGGAAGAAGGCGUUAUGCGUUGUAAACUGCUUUUAUAUAGGAAGAAAUAGACCUUGCGAGGUAAGUUGACGGUACUAUAUGAAUAAGCACCGGCUAACUCCGUGCCAGCAGCCGCGGUAAUACGGAGGGUGCAAGCGUUGUCCGGAUUUAUUGGGUUUAAAGGGUGCGUAGGCGGUUUAUUAAGUCAGUGGUGAAAGACGGUCGCUCAACGAUUGCAGUGCCAUUGAUACUGGUAGACUUGAGUGGGAUUGAGGUAGCUGGAAUGGAUGGUGUAGCGGNUGAAAUGCAUAGAUAUUAUCCAGAACACCAAUUGCGUANGCAAGUUACUAAGUCUCAACUGACGCUGA
Molecule: ribosomal RNA, 669 nt
Filed under: uncultured bacterium
Lineage: Bacteria
Description: bacterial SSU rRNA
Rfam family: Bacterial small subunit ribosomal RNA
Source: RNAcentral